RNAcentral lists this ribosomal RNA (438 nucleotides) under Gemella haemolysans. RNAcentral describes it as "bacterial SSU rRNA". It matches the Rfam family "Bacterial small subunit ribosomal RNA", at positions 28 to 453 of the family's 1533-position model. The record is from RNAcentral. Lineage: Bacteria; Bacillati; Bacillota; Bacilli; Caryophanales; Gemellaceae.
GACGAACGCUGGCGGCGUGCCUAAUACAUGCAAGUCGAGCGAAGUUUUUCUGGUGCUUGCACCGGAAAAACUUAGCGGCGAACGGGUGAGUAACACGUAAAGAACCUGCCUCAUAGACUGGGACAACUAUUGGAAACGAUAGCUAAUACCGGAUAACAGCAUUAACUGCAUGGUUGAUGUUUAAAAGUUGGUUUUGCUAACACUAUGAGAUGGCUUUGCGGUGCAUUAGCUAGUUGGUGGGGUAAAGGCCUACCAAGGCGACGAUGCAUAGCCGACCUGAGAGGGUGAUCGGCCACACUGGGACUGAGACACGGCCCAGACUCCUACGGGAGGCAGCAGUAGGGAAUCUUCCGCAAUGGGCGAAAGCCUGACGGAGCAACGCCGCGUGAGUGAAGAAGGAUUUCGGUUCGUAAAGCUCUGUUGUUAGGGAAGAAUGAU